UGGCCUUCUAAAUUUGAAUUAUUGUCUUGAUGCCAGGUGGAGGACCUUUGCAAUCUUAUCAAGUUGACGCUAAACUGGCACUGUUACUUGAUCCCAUAUUACUCCUUCGAACAAAUUGUGCGCAAAGUUGAGGAAGUUGGGGCCAAUAAUUGUAUUAUAAUA
RNAcentral lists this ribosomal RNA (162 nucleotides) under Triticum aestivum (bread wheat). Its description in RNAcentral is "partial small subunit ribosomal RNA". The record is from RNAcentral. Lineage: Eukaryota; Viridiplantae; Streptophyta; Magnoliopsida; Poales; Poaceae.